Molecule: ribosomal RNA, 484 nt
Filed under: uncultured bacterium
Lineage: Bacteria
Description: bacterial SSU rRNA
Rfam family: Bacterial small subunit ribosomal RNA
Source: RNAcentral
GACGAACGCUGGCGGCGUGCCUAACACAUGCAAGUCGAGCGGAGAUACAUUGAAGAGCAAUCAGAUAUGUAUCUUAGCGGCGGACGGGUGAGUAACGCGUGGGCAACCUGCCUCAUACUGGGGGAUAACACAGGGAAACUUGUGCUAAUACCGCAUAAUAUCAUUAUAGGGCAUCCUGUGAUGAUCAAAGGAGCAAUCCGGUGUGAGAUGGGCCCGCGUCCAAUUAGCUAGUUGGUGGGGUAACGGCCCACCAAGGCGACGAUUGGUAGCCGAACUGAGAGGUUGAUCGGCCACAUUGGGACUGAGACACGGCCCAGACUCCUACGGGAGGCAGCAGUGGGGAAUAUUGCGCAAUGGGGGAAACCCUGACGCAGCAACGCCGCGUGAAGGAUGAAGGUCUUCGGAUUGUAAACUUCUUUGAUGAGGGACGAACACAAUGACGGUACCUCAAAACAAGCCACGGCUAACUACGUGCCAGCAGCCG